RNAcentral lists this ribosomal RNA (704 nucleotides) under uncultured bacterium. Its description in RNAcentral is "bacterial SSU rRNA". It matches the Rfam family "Bacterial small subunit ribosomal RNA", at positions 51 to 755 of the family's 1533-position model. The record is from RNAcentral.
ACACAUGCAAGUCGAACGAAGCACCUUGAUUUGAUUCUUCGGAUGAAGAUCUUGGUGACUGAGUGGCGGACGGGUGAGUAACGCGUGGGUAACCUGCCUCAUACAGGGGGAUAACAGUUAGAAAUGACUGCUAAUACCGCAUAAGACCACAGCACCGCAUGGUGCAGGGGUAAAAACUCCGGUGGUAUGAGAUGGACCCGCGUCUGAUUAGGUAGUUGGUGGGGUAACGGCCUACCAAGCCGACGAUCAGUAGCCGACCUGAGAGGGUGACCGGCCACAUUGGGACUGAGACACGGCCCAAACUCCUACGGGAGGCAGCAGUGGGGAAUAUUGCACAAUGGGGGAAACCCUGAUGCAGCGACGCCGCGUGAGCGAUGAAGUAUUUCGGUAUGUAAAGCUCUAUCAGCAGGGAAGAAAAUGACGGUACCUGACUAAGAAGCACCGGCUAAAUACGUGCCAGCAGCCGCGGUAAUACGUAUGGUGCAAGCGUUAUCCGGAUUUACUGGGUGUAAAGGGAGCGUAGACGGAGUGGCAAGUCUGAUGUGAAAACCCGGGGCUCAACCCCGGGACUGCAUUGGAAACUGUCAAUCUAGAGUACCGGAGAGGUAAGCGGAAUUCCUAGUGUAGCGGUGAAAUGCGUAGAUAUUAGGAGGAACACCAGUGGCGAAGGCGGCUUACUGGACGGUAACUGACGUUGAGGCUCG